UUAUCUAAAAACGUGUAAUCUAGAAAAUAAACCUGUCAAAUACACCACUUCAAAGUGAACUAAUUUCUUGAACAAGUUUCAGUGUAAUUGAAUAAUUACUCUAAAUGUAAGACACACAUAAGAUUAACGACGGCGGUAUUCCUCGUGAAUUCGUCGUAAAAGAGGCUUGACGAGGAAUUAGCGACGAAACACGUUUCGUCGUUACUCGUUCGUCGUAACGCAGAUUUCCUCGCCAAUUCGUCGUAACUUAGCGAGGAAAACAUUUCGUCGUAAAGACGAAGUACAUCAUUUCAUCGUAAAAACCACGUAAUUAUUCCACGUAAGGAGGUCGCUAUAUUUCCUCGUAAAUACCUCGAAAGGAGUUCCUCGUAAACUACACGUAAAUAUCUCGAAAGUAUUUUCGAAUAAAGUACACGUAAAUACCUCGAAAGUAUUUCCUCGUAAAAUACUC
RNAcentral lists this long non-coding RNA (451 nucleotides) under Brassica napus (rape). Its description in RNAcentral is "long non-coding RNA (BNAP_LNC026122)". Lineage: Eukaryota; Viridiplantae; Streptophyta; Magnoliopsida; Brassicales; Brassicaceae. The record is from RNAcentral.